GUCGUUGUAGUAUAGUGGUGAGUAUUUUCGCCUUUCACGCGGGUGACCCGGGUUCAAUCCCCGGCAACGGCG
This is a non-coding RNA of Picea glauca (white spruce), 72 nucleotides long. Lineage: Eukaryota; Viridiplantae; Streptophyta; Pinopsida; Pinales; Pinaceae. The record is from Rfam.